Molecule: RNA transcript, 987 nt
Organism: Nasonia vitripennis (jewel wasp)
Lineage: Eukaryota; Metazoa; Arthropoda; Insecta; Hymenoptera; Pteromalidae
Gene name: GATA-binding factor C-like
Exons: 6
Source: RefSeq, a predicted model, not a curated record
CGCAACUCCGCAAAAGAAUGAGCAUAUUGCAUCAUCAUGAUUGGAAUUAUUUACAAUCUAUUUCAAAAGCUAUCUAUUGGAAGGGCAGUUUUGGGUAGAUUACCGGGGAUUCCCCGUUUCAUAUUAUCUCCGCGCUGUAUAAAUAUGUGUGUAUUAACUUUCACGAUACAGUACAUUUCUUCUACUGCACGUAUUGUUUAUAUAUAACCUACAAAAAGAAAAGCGUUGUGUAGGCCGUUGCUGCAUACCGCUGGCUAUCUUGAAUUCGCGUCGUCCAUUUCUCAGUGCACUUUGAGGAGGCGAAUAGCGCAGUGCUAUCGCGAUCGAUCGUCUAGUUUUCUAUUUUUUAGCGUAGCAAUGGGAGCAGAAGAAUUUCAGCCGGACAAUAAAGAAUCGACAUCCCAACCGAGUAAUGAUUUCGCUAGAGCGGAGGUAAUUAGGCACCUGGAGCCCCUGGAGGAUUGGACAGAAGUAGCAUUUGAAGCUCUGGAGGAAAUAAGGCGGCGAAGAAUGAGAAUAAACACACUUCCUUCGAAUCGUCGCAAUUGGACUGUUUCAGCUGACGCGGUAAAGACAAAUAGCAAAAUAAACAUACUUUUUAGUAUAUUAUUAUUUAUGAUGCGAGACAGCUGAGCCAAAACUAACAGUGGUUUUAGUUUCAGUCGUAUAUAGGCACCAAAACCAGUUCCAUAAGUUUCAGAAACGGAACGUGUGCAGUUGUCGCGCAGUAACUGCCGGACAACGGUUACGUCGUUAUGGCGCGUUAACCUCCAAGGAAAUCCCGUUUGCAAUCGUUGUGAGCUAUAUCAGAGAAUACAUGGAGUUCCAGCGCCAACGCAAUUUUAGAAUUCUUCAAUUUUGUUUUCUAGUUCAACGACAUGCAUCAACCAUGUAAAACUUUCAUUUGAAAUGAGCAGCGAAUAAACAGCUUUGAGUAUGAAAAAUUAUUAUUACACGAUUUAAAAUUAAAUAAAAUUAUACAGCGUA